GUCUAUGGCCAUACCACCCUGAACGCACCUGAUCUCGUCUGAUCUCGGAAGCUAAGCAGGGUUAGGCCUGGUUAGUACUUGGAUGGGAGAAGUGGAGUUAGAUAAAAGGUAGCAAUGGACA
Molecule: ribosomal RNA, 121 nt
Organism: Cebus imitator (Panamanian white-faced capuchin)
Lineage: Eukaryota; Metazoa; Chordata; Mammalia; Primates; Cebidae
Source: Ensembl